AACGAACGCUGGCGGCAUGCCUAACACAUGCCAGUCGAACGAAGCCUUCGGGCUUAGUGGCGCACGGGUGCGUAACGCGUGGGAAUCUGCCCCUUUCUUCGGAAUAACAGUUAGAAAUGACUGCUAAUACCGGAUGAAGUCUUCGGACCAAAGAUUUAUCGGCAAGGGAUGAGCCCGCGUAGGAUUAGGUAGUUGGUGGGGUAAAGGCCUACCAAGCCGACGAUCCUUAGCUGGUCUGAGAGGAUGAUCAGCCACACUGGGACUGAGACACGGCCCAGACUCCUACGGGAGGCAGCAGUGGGGAAUAUUGGACAAUGGACGCAAGUCUGAUCCAGCAAUGCCGCGUGAGUGAUGAAGGCCUUAGGGUUGUAAAGCUCUUUUACCAGGGAUGAUAAUGACAGUACCUGGAGAAUAAGCUCCGGCUAACUCCGUG
RNAcentral lists this ribosomal RNA (433 nucleotides) under uncultured bacterium. RNAcentral's name for it is "partial 16S ribosomal RNA". It matches the Rfam family "Bacterial small subunit ribosomal RNA", at positions 29 to 507 of the family's 1533-position model. The record is from RNAcentral.